Molecule: ribosomal RNA, 585 nt
Filed under: uncultured bacterium
Lineage: Bacteria
Description: partial 16S ribosomal RNA
Rfam family: Bacterial small subunit ribosomal RNA
Source: RNAcentral
UGGGGAAUUUUGGACAAUGGGCGAAAGCCUGAUCCAGCAAUGCCGCGUGUGUGAAGAAGGCCUUCGGGUUGUAAAGCACUUUUGUCCGGAAAGAAAUCCUUGGCUCUAAUACAGUCGGGGGAUGACGGUACCGGAAGAAUAAGCACCGGCUAACUACGUGCCAGCAGCCGCGGUAAUACGUAGGGUGCAAGCGUUAAUCGGAAUUACUGGGCGUAAAGCGUGCGCAGGCGGUUUGCUAAGACCGAUGUGAAAUCCCCGGGCUCAACCUGGGAACUGCAUUGGUGACUGGCAGGCUAGAGUAUGGCAGAGGGGGGUAGAAUUCCACGUGUAGCAGUGAAAUGCGUAGAGAUGUGGAGGAAUACCGAUAGCGAAGGCAGCCCCCUGGGCCAAUACUGACGCUCAUGCACGAAAGCGUGGGGAGCGAACAGGAUUAGAUACCCUGGUAGUCCACGCCCUAAACGAUGUCAACUAGUUGUUGGGGAUUCAUUUCCUUAGUAACGUAGCUAACGCGUGAAGUUGACCGCCUGGGGAGUACGGUCGCAAGAUUAAAACUCAAAGGAAUUGACGGGGUCAUAGCUGUUUCCU